Molecule: transfer RNA, 75 nt
Filed under: Verrucomicrobiota bacterium
Lineage: Bacteria; Pseudomonadati; Verrucomicrobiota
Also listed under: 3 other names
Description: Verrucomicrobia bacterium tRNA-Lys
Rfam family: tRNA
About the family: Transfer RNA (tRNA) molecules are approximately 80 nucleotides in length. Their secondary structure includes four short double-helical elements and three loops (D, anti-codon, and T loops). Further hydrogen bonds mediate the characteristic L-shaped molecular structure. tRNAs have two regions of fundamental functional importance: the anti-codon, which is responsible for specific mRNA codon recognition, and the 3' end, to which the tRNAs corresponding amino acid is attached (by aminoacyl-tRNA synthetases). tRNAs cope with the degeneracy of the genetic code in two manners: having more than one tRNA (with a specific anti-codon) for a particular amino acid; and 'wobble' base-pairing, i.e. permitting non-standard base-pairing at the 3rd anti-codon position.
Source: RNAcentral
GGGUUGGUAGCUCAGUGGUAGAGCAGCGGCCUUUUAAGCCGUUGGUCGUGGGUUCGAAUCCCACCCGACCCACCA